CCUACGGGAGGCAGCAGUAGGGAAUAUUGGACAAUGGACGCAAGUCUGAUCCAGCCAUCCCGCGUGAAGGAUUAAGGCCCUAUGGGUUGUAAACUUCUUUUCUUUGGGAAUAAAAAGCGGUAUUCAUAUCGCCUUGAAGGUACCAGAGGAAUAAGCACCGGCUAACUCCGUGCCAGCAGCCGCGGUAAUACGGAGGGUGCAAGCGUUAUCCGGAUUCACUGGGUUUAAAGGGUGCGUAGGUGGCUUUGUAAGUCAGCGGUGAAAGCCUGGAGCUCAACUCCAGAAUUGCCAUUGAUACUGCAGAGCUUGAAUCAAGUUGAGGUGGAUGGAAUAUUACAUGUAGCGGUGAAAUGCUUAGAUAUGUAAUAGAACACCGAUUGCGAAGGCAGUUCACUAAGCUUGUAUUGACACUGAGGCACGAAAGCGUGGGGAUCAAACAGGAUUAGAUACCCUGGUAGUCCACGCCCUAAACGAUGCAAACUCGACAUUAGCGAUAUACAGUUAGUGUCCAAGCGAAAAGCGUUAAGUUUGCCACCUGGAAGUACGACCGCAAGGUUGAAACUCAAAUGAAUUGACGGCGNGAGAGAGCGAGACGACACGAGGGAGAGG
RNAcentral lists this ribosomal RNA (609 nucleotides) under uncultured bacterium. RNAcentral describes it as "bacterial SSU rRNA". It matches the Rfam family "Bacterial small subunit ribosomal RNA", at positions 338 to 950 of the family's 1533-position model. The record is from RNAcentral.